This 301-nucleotide ribosomal RNA is filed under the name uncultured bacterium. RNAcentral describes it as "partial 16S ribosomal RNA". It matches the Rfam family "Bacterial small subunit ribosomal RNA", at positions 509 to 807 of the family's 1533-position model. The record is from RNAcentral.
CAGUAGCCGCGGGAAUACGAAGGGUGCAAGCGUUACUCGGAAUUACUGGGCGUAAAGCGUGCGUAGGUGGUGGUUUAAGUCCGUUGUGAAAGCCCUGGGCUCAACCUGGGAAUUGCAGUGGAUACUGGGUCACUAGAGUGUGGUAGAGGAUAGUGGAAUUUCCGGUGUAGCAGUGAAAUGCGUAGAGAUCGGAAGGAACAUCUGUGGCGAAGGCGACUAUCUGGGCCAACACUGACACUGAGGCACGAAAGCGUGGGGAGCAAACAGGAUUAGAUACCCCGGUAGUCCCUGUCUCUUAUAC